UACGAAGGGGGCUAGCGUUGCUCGGAAUCACUGGGCGUAAAGGGUGCGUAGGCGGGUCUUUAAGUCAGGGGUGAAAUCCUGGAGCUCAACUCCAGAACUGCCUUUGAUACUGAAGAUCUUGAGUUCGGGAGAGGUGAGUGGAACUGCGAGUGUAGCGGUGAAAUGCGUAGAUAUCUGGAGGAACACCGGUGGCGAAGGCGGCAUCCUGGACCGGUAUUGACGCUGAGGCGCGAAAGCCAGGGGAGCAAACGGG
RNAcentral lists this ribosomal RNA (253 nucleotides) under uncultured bacterium. RNAcentral's name for it is "partial 16S ribosomal RNA". It matches the Rfam family "Bacterial small subunit ribosomal RNA", at positions 524 to 776 of the family's 1533-position model. The record is from RNAcentral.